Molecule: long non-coding RNA, 1508 nt
Organism: Panicum virgatum (switchgrass)
Lineage: Eukaryota; Viridiplantae; Streptophyta; Magnoliopsida; Poales; Poaceae
Exons: 2
Source: RefSeq, a predicted model, not a curated record
CUGGGAUUUCAUUUUUCAUUUCAUAUGCAUGUCUUAAGGAUUACACUGCAACUCUUAUAAACGCACCCUCGCAAAAUAGGAAAAUUAGGUUUUGAUCCAAACAAGGGUGUCUCCCGGUCGUCUUCGUCGCCGGCGUAAGGGGCAGCCCCUCGACACAGCUCCACCGCACUAGAGGUUGGAGGAGAACAGUGCCAAGGCUACCACUUGAAGCCACCUUCCUUCUCGGCGAAGAAACUUCUAAGUUUUUGAUUGCUACAACAAGUAGCACAUCGAACUCGUCGAUAUGCCAUUGAUCCAAUGAGCGCCAGCCACACAUCGCCGAGUAACUUGGGAUUCGACGCCACAAGCAGCACCGACAACCCCAAUCACCAAACGACAGAAGCAACUGAAAAGGGGAAGAAGAUCACCCAAGCAGUUGCAAUGAAACCACCCACCCGAUUUCAUAAGGACAAUGGUAAGCAAACCUUCUCGGAGCCAUGACGGAGAAGACAAUGACAGCGGUGCCGUCCCUGAAGAAGACAAGGAAGGGACAAAAUAACUCAUCGACAAGAUAUAGAGCUCCUAUUGAAACACCAGAUUUGGCGAGGAAGCAGCACACAAGCCCUUCACCAUUGCUAGAAAGCACACCAGCGAGGUGGAGAAGGGGCCAGCGGAUCUUAUUUUACUAACGACGGCGACACCUUCACCAACCGCUCGCCACCGAGCCGUAGGAAGCCUAGAUUAGGGACUAUAUAUAACGGCCACCUCAAUCCCCGUUCCCCAUCCCCUCCAGCCCCAAGACGGUUGCUGGAGUAGAGGGGAAACGAAGGAUUGGCAUCAGAUCGGAGAAUUUCUCCUUUCAUCCUCUCUCUCAACUGUUACUCUGGAAAGGUCAAGAGGAAGAAGACGGAGUUCGUGGCCGGUUGUACCAGGUCAUCUUCAGGGUGACGUAUUUGGAUCAAACUCGGGCAAUCCUAUCUGAAGAGGAAGAGAAGCUCGUUUUGAAGGAGAGCUGCCAGCAUUGGAAACCACGUCUUUGAUAUCUUUAAUAAUUUUGGGUGCAAGUUCAGAAACAGAAUUGAGAGAUAGUGUUAUGUUUCUCUUUUUCUACUCUUUUAUAAUGCAUAUGACAUGAUGCCGUGCUUAGUACUGCUUUUCUCUAAACUUUUGGCUGUGAGCUACAAUCUUGUGGUAGCUGAGGCCGGUCGGUUUCACUAAUCUAAAAAUAGACCGCUGGCCGCCCUGGUAGGGUAGGAGCACCAAGGGGCAAGGACAGGGGCAGAAGCGAGGCACCACCAGCAGAGACAAAGUAGCAAUGAGCACAUUGAACGGCUGGAAGAAGAGAAUUUUUUAGUAGCCUUUGGAUGGAAGACACCAAUGACCAAGAAAUCGAGGAUUCUGCCCUAGCAAAAUACUCGACUAUACGCAGACAAUCCCUUUUGUUUUGGUCGAUGCUAUAGAUAAUAACAAUAAAGAAGAACCUUGUGAUUUUGUGCGAUUCAAAUUUUAGUCGAGCGUUUUGCUGAAGA